This 1311-nucleotide ribosomal RNA is filed under the name uncultured archaeon. Its description in RNAcentral is "bacterial SSU rRNA". It matches the Rfam family "Archaeal small subunit ribosomal RNA", at positions 21 to 1337 of the family's 1478-position model. The record is from RNAcentral.
AGGUUACUGCUAUCGAGGUUCGACUAAGCCAUGCGAGUCGAAUGUAGCAAUACAUGGCGAACUGCUCAGUAACACGUGGACAACCUGCCCUUAGGUUGGGUAUAAACCCGGGAAACUGGGUAUAAUACCCGAUAGGUCUCGAUUGCUGGAAUGCAUCGAGAUUUAAAGCUCCGGCGCCUAAGGAUGGGUCUGCGGCCUAUCAGGUAGUAGUGGGUGUAGCGUACCUACUAGCCUACGACGGGUACGGGUUGUGAGAGCAAGAGCCCGGAGAUGGAUUCUGAGACACGAAUCCAGGCCCUACGGGGUGCAGCAGGCGCGAAAACUUUACAAUGCUGGCAACAGCGAUAAGGGAACCUCGAGUGCCAGGUUACAAAUCUGGCUGUCGAGAUGCCUAAAAAGCAUUUCAUAGCAAGGGCCGGGCAAGACCGGUGCCAGCCGCCGCGGUAACACCGGCGGCUCGAGUGGUAACCGUUAUUAUUGGGUCUAAAGGGUCUGUAGCCGGCCGGAUAAGUCUCUUGAGAAAUCUGGCAGCUUAACUGUCAGGCUUUCAGGAGAUACUGUCUGGCUCGAGGCCGGGAGAGGUGAGAGGUACUUCAGGGGUAGGAGUGAAAUCCUGUAAUCCCGGUGGGACCACCUAUGGCGAAGGCAUCUCACCAGAACGGGUCCGACAGUGAGGGACGAAAGCUGGGGGAGCAAACCGGAUUAGAUACCCGGGUAGUCCCAGCUGUAAACUAUGUGCGUUAGGUGUGUCAGUGACCACGUGUCACUGAGGUGCCGAAGGGAAACCGUGAAACGCACCGCCUGGGGAGUACGGCCGCAAGGCUGAAACUUAAAGGAAUUGGCGGGGGAGCACCACAACGGGUGGAGCCUGCGGUUUAAUCGGACUCAACGCCGGGAAUCUCACCGGAUAAGACAGCUGAAUGAUAGUCGGGAUGAAGACUCUACUUGACUAGCUGAGAGGAGGUGCAUGGCCGUCGUCAGUUCGUACUGUGAAGCAUCCUGUUUAGUCAGGCAACGAGCGAGACCCACGCGAGCAGUUGCCAGCUUGACCUUUGGGUUGAUGGGGACACUGCUCGGACCGCCUCUGCUAAAGGGGAGGAAGGACUGGGCAACGGUAGGUCAGCAUGCCCCGAAUUAUCCGGGCUACACGCGGGCUACAAUGGACAGGACAAUGGGUUUCGACACCGAGAGGUGAGGAUAAUCUCCUAAACCUGUCCCAAGUUCGGAUUGCGGGUUGUAACUCACCCGCAUGAAGCUGGAAUCCGUAGUAAUCGCGUUUCAACAUACCGCGGUGAAUAUGUCCCUGCUCCU